AAAAUCGGUACAUCUAGUAGAAAGUUAUGCGGUAUAAUAACAACGUAGGUCGACGAAAAAAGCGUCAAGUAAAAACGCAUUAUUAGAUAUAACUCGAAAAGUAGUUGUUAGAUCUCAAAUAAAUUUAAAUGGGACCAAUUGGCACACACCACCUUUCGAUUAAAACAAAAUUUGUCGAAAUCGGUCUACCCGGUCAAAAGUUCUGAUGUAACAUACAUAAA
RNAcentral lists this unclassified non-coding RNA (221 nucleotides) under Melitaea cinxia (Glanville fritillary). RNAcentral describes it as "misc RNA ENSMCXG00005011208.1". The record is from RNAcentral. Lineage: Eukaryota; Metazoa; Arthropoda; Insecta; Lepidoptera; Nymphalidae.